GACGAACGCUGGCGGCGUGCCUAACACAUGCAAGUCGAGCGGGAACCUCAGGAGGGGUAACCCUUCUGAGGGGAGAGCGGCGAACGGGUGAGUAACACGUGGGCAACCUGCCCCGGACACCGGGAUAACCCAGGGAAACCUGAGCUAAUACCGGAUACUCCGGCGCGAUCGCAUGGUCGUGCCGGGAAAGCUCCGACGGUCCGGGAUGGGCCCGCGGCCUAUCAGCUUGUUGGUGGGGUAACGGCCCACCAAGGCGACGACGGGUAGCUGGUCUGAGAGGACGGCCAGCCACACUGGGACUGAGACACGGCCCAGACUCCUACGGGAGGCAGCAGUGGGGGAUCUUGCGCUAAUGCGCGAAAGCGUGACGCAGCGACGCCGCGUGGGGAUGAAGGCCUUCGGUUGUAA
RNAcentral lists this ribosomal RNA (408 nucleotides) under uncultured bacterium. Its description in RNAcentral is "bacterial SSU rRNA". It matches the Rfam family "Bacterial small subunit ribosomal RNA", at positions 28 to 428 of the family's 1533-position model. The record is from RNAcentral.